RNAcentral lists this ribosomal RNA (346 nucleotides) under uncultured bacterium. RNAcentral's name for it is "bacterial SSU rRNA". It matches the Rfam family "Bacterial small subunit ribosomal RNA", at positions 118 to 497 of the family's 1533-position model. The record is from RNAcentral.
UAGAUCACGUACCCAAGGGCUCGGAAUAGCGGGGGGAAACCGCCGGUAAUGCCGAAUAAUGUCUCCGGACCAAAGAUUUAUCACCCUUGGAGCGGUUUGCGUACUAUUAGUUUGUUGGUGGGGUAACGGCCUACCAAGGCAAAGAUGGUUAGCGGGUGUGAGAGCAUGGCCCGUCUCACUGGGACUGAGACACUGCCCAGACACCUACGGGUGGCUGCAGUCGAGAAUCUUCCGCAAUGGACGAAAGUCUGACGGAGCGACGCCGCGUGCGGGAUGAAGGCCUUCGGGUUGUAAACCGCUGUCAUAGGGGAGGAAAUUUUGACCGAUCCUAAGAGGAAGCACAGGC